RNAcentral lists this ribosomal RNA (2927 nucleotides) under Escherichia coli K-12. Its description in RNAcentral is "23S ribosomal RNA". It matches the Rfam family "Bacterial large subunit ribosomal RNA". The record is from RNAcentral. Lineage: Bacteria; Pseudomonadati; Pseudomonadota; Gammaproteobacteria; Enterobacterales; Enterobacteriaceae.
GGGUUGUGAGGUUAAGCGACUAAGCGUACACGGUGGAUGCCCUGGCAGUCAGAGGCGAUGAAGGACGUGCUAAUCUGCGAUAAGCGUCGGUAAGGUGAUAUGAACCGUUAUAACCGGCGAUUUCCGAAUGGGGAAACCCAGUGUGUUUCGACACACUAUCAUUAACUGAAUCCAUAGGUUAAUGAGGCGAACCGGGGGAACUGAAACAUCUAAGUACCCCGAGGAAAAGAAAUCAACCGAGAUUCCCCCAGUAGCGGCGAGCGAACGGGGAGCAGCCCAGAGCCUGAAUCAGUGUGUGUGUUAGUGGAAGCGUCUGGAAAGGCGCGCGAUACAGGGUGACAGCCCCGUACACAAAAAUGCACAUGCUGUGAGCUCGAUGAGUAGGGCGGGACACGUGGUAUCCUGUCUGAAUAUGGGGACCAUCCUCCAAGGCUAAAUACUCCUGACUGACCGAUAGUGAACCAGUACCGUGAGGGAAAGGCGAAAAGAACCCCGGCGAGGGGAGUGAAAAAGAACCUGAAACCGUGUACGUACAAGCAGUGGGAGCACGCUUAGGCGUGUGACUGCGUACCUUUUGUAUAAUGGGUCAGCGACUUAUAUUCUGUAGCAAGGUUAACCGAAUAGGGGAGCCGAAGGGAAACCGAGUCUUAACUGGGCGUUAAGUUGCAGGGUAUAGACCCGAAACCCGGUGAUCUAGCCAUGGGCAGGUUGAAGGUUGGGUAACACUAACUGGAGGACCGAACCGACUAAUGUUGAAAAAUUAGCGGAUGACUUGUGGCUGGGGGUGAAAGGCCAAUCAAACCGGGAGAUAGCUGGUUCUCCCCGAAAGCUAUUUAGGUAGCGCCUCGUGAAUUCAUCUCCGGGGGUAGAGCACUGUUUCGGCAAGGGGGUCAUCCCGACUUACCAACCCGAUGCAAACUGCGAAUACCGGAGAAUGUUAUCACGGGAGACACACGGCGGGUGCUAACGUCCGUCGUGAAGAGGGAAACAACCCAGACCGCCAGCUAAGGUCCCAAAGUCAUGGUUAAGUGGGAAACGAUGUGGGAAGGCCCAGACAGCGAGGAUGUUGGCUUAGAAGCAGCCAUCAUUUAAAGAAAGCGUAAUAGCUCACUGGUCGAGUCGGCCUGCGCGGAAGAUGUAACGGGGCUAAACCAUGCACCGAAGCUGCGGCAGCGACGCUUAUGCGUUGUUGGGUAGGGGAGCGUUCUGUAAGCCUGCGAAGGUGUGCUGUGAGGCAUGCUGGAGGUAUCAGAAGUGCGAAUGCUGACAUAAGUAACGAUAAAGCGGGUGAAAAGCCCGCUCGCCGGAAGACCAAGGGUUCCUGUCCAACGUUAAUCGGGGCAGGGUGAGUCGACCCCUAAGGCGAGGCCGAAAGGCGUAGUCGAUGGGAAACAGGUUAAUAUUCCUGUACUUGGUGUUACUGCGAAGGGGGGACGGAGAAGGCUAUGUUGGCCGGGCGACGGUUGUCCCGGUUUAAGCGUGUAGGCUGGUUUUCCAGGCAAAUCCGGAAAAUCAAGGCUGAGGCGUGAUGACGAGGCACUACGGUGCUGAAGCAACAAAUGCCCUGCUUCCAGGAAAAGCCUCUAAGCAUCAGGUAACAUCAAAUCGUACCCCAAACCGACACAGGUGGUCAGGUAGAGAAUACCAAGGCGCUUGAGAGAACUCGGGUGAAGGAACUAGGCAAAAUGGUGCCGUAACUUCGGGAGAAGGCACGCUGAUAUGUAGGUGAGGUCCCUCGCGGAUGGAGCUGAAAUCAGUCGAAGAUACCAGCUGGCUGCAACUGUUUAUUAAAAACACAGCACUGUGCAAACACGAAAGUGGACGUAUACGGUGUGACGCCUGCCCGGUGCCGGAAGGUUAAUUGAUGGGGUUAGCGCAAGCGAAGCUCUUGAUCGAAGCCCCGGUAAACGGCGGCCGUAACUAUAACGGUCCUAAGGUAGCGAAAUUCCUUGUCGGGUAAGUUCCGACCUGCACGAAUGGCGUAAUGAUGGCCAGGCUGUCUCCACCCGAGACUCAGUGAAAUUGAACUCGCUGUGAAGAUGCAGUGUACCCGCGGCAAGACGGAAAGACCCCGUGAACCUUUACUAUAGCUUGACACUGAACAUUGAGCCUUGAUGUGUAGGAUAGGUGGGAGGCUUUGAAGUGUGGACGCCAGUCUGCAUGGAGCCGACCUUGAAAUACCACCCUUUAAUGUUUGAUGUUCUAACGUUGACCCGUAAUCCGGGUUGCGGACAGUGUCUGGUGGGUAGUUUGACUGGGGCGGUCUCCUCCUAAAGAGUAACGGAGGAGCACGAAGGUUGGCUAAUCCUGGUCGGACAUCAGGAGGUUAGUGCAAUGGCAUAAGCCAGCUUGACUGCGAGCGUGACGGCGCGAGCAGGUGCGAAAGCAGGUCAUAGUGAUCCGGUGGUUCUGAAUGGAAGGGCCAUCGCUCAACGGAUAAAAGGUACUCCGGGAUAACAGGCUGAUACCGCCCAAGAGUUCAUAUCGACGGCGGUGUUUGGCACCUCGAUGUCGGCUCAUCACAUCCUGGGGCUGAAGUAGGUCCCAAGGGUAUGGCUGUUCGCCAUUUAAAGUGGUACGCGAGCUGGGUUUAGAACGUCGUGAGACAGUUCGGUCCCUAUCUGCCGUGGGCGCUGGAGAACUGAGGGGGGCUGCUCCUAGUACGAGAGGACCGGAGUGGACGCAUCACUGGUGUUCGGGUUGUCAUGCCAAUGGCACUGCCCGGUAGCUAAAUGCGGAAGAGAUAAGUGCUGAAAGCAUCUAAGCACGAAACUUGCCCCGAGAUGAGUUCUCCCUGACCCUUUAAGGGUCCUGAAGGAACGUUGAAGACGACGACGUUGAUAGGCCGGGUGUGUAAGCGCAGCGAUGCGUUGAGCUAACCGGUACUAAUGAACCGUGAGGCUUAACCUUACAACGCCGAAGCUGUU